AACGGCGAGUGAAGCGGCAAAAGCUCAAAUUUGAAAUCUGGUACCUUCGGUGCCCGAGUUGUAAUUUGGAGAGGGCAACUUUGGGGCCGUUCCUUGUCUAUGUUCCUUGGAACAGGACGUCAUAGAGGGUGAGAAUCCCGUGUGGCGAGGAGUGCGGUUCUUUGUAAAGUGCCUUCGAAGAGUCGAGUUGUUUGGGAAUGCAGCUCUAAGUGGGUGGUAAAUUCCAUCUAAAGCUAAAUAUUGGCGAGAGACCGAUAGCGAACAAGUACAGUGAUGGAAAGAUGAAAAGAACUUUGAAAAGAGAGUGAAAAAGUACGUGAAAUUGUUGAAAGGGAAGGGCAUUUGAUCAGACAUGGUGUUUUGUGCCCUCUGCUCCUUGUGGGUAGGGGAAUCUCGCAUUUCACUGGGCCAGCAUCAGUUUUGGUGGCAGGAUAAAUCCAUAGGAAUGUAGCUUGCCUCGGUAAGUAUUAUAGCCUGUGGGAAUACUGCCAGCUGGGAUCUGAGGACUGCGACGUAAGUC
This 520-nucleotide ribosomal RNA is filed under the name Saccharomyces cerevisiae (brewer's yeast). RNAcentral describes it as "eukaryotic LSU rRNA". It matches the Rfam family "Eukaryotic large subunit ribosomal RNA", at positions 85 to 608 of the family's 3401-position model. The record is from RNAcentral. Lineage: Eukaryota; Fungi; Ascomycota; Saccharomycetes; Saccharomycetales; Saccharomycetaceae.